CCUGAAGACAAUAAAAGCAAGAAAGGCAGCAAUCGGUCUAAUUUCGAAACUUCAUGCAGUCAGUACAUUCAGAAAGCCUUUGGUUAAAUUCUGCAUAAUUGGUUCCUGCUUAAGACAGAGCUUGCAGGAAUCCAGGAGGAGACAUGGGAGCAGAUAAAGAAUGAGUGGAAGAAACAAAAAACAGACACUCCUGAUUACAAGAACCUGCCAGAAGGGGUUGUACAACCUCCACCUUGGAGUUUGAGAAAUCUAUGCACUCUGAAGAUGCCUGACUUGACCGGGCAGUUUACAGAGGCUCUGAAAGUCAAGUCCAUCUCUGUCUGGCUCAAAU
This 331-nucleotide long non-coding RNA is filed under the name Felis catus (domestic cat). Its description in RNAcentral is "lncRNA (ENSFCAG00000044977.2)". The record is from RNAcentral. Lineage: Eukaryota; Metazoa; Chordata; Mammalia; Carnivora; Felidae.